AAUAGAUACCCGGGUAGUCCACGCCGUAAACGAUGAGUGCUAGGUGUUGGGGGGUCCACCCCUCGGUGCCGAAGUUAACACAUUAAGCACUCCGCCUGGGGAGUACGGUCGCAAGACUGAAACUCAAAGGAAUUGACGGGGACCCGCACAAGCAGUGGAGUAUGUGGUUUAAUUCGAAGCAACGCGAAGAACCUUACCAGGUCUUGACAUCCCUCUGACCGGUCUAGAGAUAGGCCUUCCCUUCGGGGCAGAGGAGACAGGUGGUGCAUGGUUGUCGUCAGCUCGUGUCGUGAGAUGUUGGGUUAAGUCCCGCAACGAGCGCAACCCUUGAACUUAGUUGCCAGCACCUCGGGUGGGCACUCUAGGUUGACUGCCGGUGACAAACCGGAGGAAGGCGGGGAUGACGUCAAAUCAUCAUGCCCCUUAUGACCUGGGCUACACACGUACUACAAUGGCCGGUACAACGGGUCGCGAAGCCGCGAGGCGGAGCCAAUCCUAUCAAAGCCGGUCUCAGUUCGGAUUGCAGGCUGCAACUCGCCUGCA
This 543-nucleotide ribosomal RNA is filed under the name uncultured bacterium. RNAcentral's name for it is "bacterial SSU rRNA". It matches the Rfam family "Bacterial small subunit ribosomal RNA", at positions 777 to 1320 of the family's 1533-position model. The record is from RNAcentral.